This 253-nucleotide ribosomal RNA is filed under the name uncultured bacterium. Its description in RNAcentral is "partial 16S ribosomal RNA". It matches the Rfam family "Bacterial small subunit ribosomal RNA", at positions 524 to 776 of the family's 1533-position model. The record is from RNAcentral.
UACGCAGGUGGCGAGCGUUGUCCGGAUUUACUGGGUGUAAAGGGCGUGUAGGCGGGAUGACAAGUCAGAUGUGAAAUCCCAGGGCUUAACCCUGGAGCUGCAUCUGAAACUGUUUUUCUUGAGUGUCGGAGAGGAAAGUGGAAUUCCCAGUGUAGCGGUGAAAUGCGUAGAGAUUGGGAGGAACACCAGUGGCGAAGGCGGCUUUCUGGACGAUAACUGACGCUGAGGCGCGAAAGCGUGGGGAGCAAACAGG